RNAcentral lists this ribosomal RNA (894 nucleotides) under Niesslia exilis. Its description in RNAcentral is "LSU rRNA". It matches the Rfam family "Eukaryotic large subunit ribosomal RNA", at positions 41 to 966 of the family's 3401-position model. Lineage: Eukaryota; Fungi; Ascomycota; Sordariomycetes; Hypocreales; Niessliaceae. The record is from RNAcentral.
UAUCAAUAAGCGGAGGAAAAGAAACCAACAGGGAUUGCCCUAGUAACGGCGAGUGAAGCGGCAACAGCUCAAAUUUGAAAGCUGGCUCUCGGGCCCGCAUUGUAAUUUGCAGAGGAUGCUUCUGGCGACGCGCCUUCCGAGUUCCCUGGAACGGGACGCCAUAGAGGGUGAGAGCCCCGUCCGGUCGUGCGCCUAGCCUCUGUGAAGCUCCUUCGACGAGUCGAGUAGUUUGGGAAUGCUGCUCAAAAUGGGAGGUAUACGUCUUCUAAAGCUAAAUACCGGCCAGAGACCGAUAGCGCACAAGUAGAGUGAUCGAAAGAUGAAAAGCACUUUGAAAAGAGAGUUAAAAAGUACGUGAAAUUGUUGAAAGGGAAGCGCUCAUGACCAGACUUGGGCUGGCUCGAUCAUCCGGCGUUCUCGCCGGUGCACUCGGGCCGCUCAGGCCAGCAUCAGCUUCCGCCGGGGGAUAAAGGCGGUGGGAAUGUGGCUCCCUCGGGAGUGUUAUAGCCCGCCGUGCAAUACCCUGGUGGGGGCUGAGGUUCGCGCGUAUGCACGGAUGCUGGCGUAAUGGUCAUCAGCGACCCGUCUUGAAACACGGACCAAGGAGUCGUCUUCGUAUGCGAGUGUUCGGGUGUCAAACCCCUACGCGGAAUGAAAGUGAACGCUGGUGAGAGCUUCGGCGCAUCACCGACCGAUCCUGAUGUUCUCGGAUGGAUUUGAGUAAGAGCAUACGGGGCCGGACCCGAAAGAAGGUGAACUAUGCCUGUAUAGGGUGAAGCCAGAGGAAACUCUGGUGGAGGCUCGCAGCGGUUCUGACGUGCAAAUCGAUCGUCAAAUAUGGGCAUGGGGGGCGAAAGACUAAUCGAACCUUCUAGUAGCUGGUUUCCGCCGAAG